GGGAGCCAGCAGUGCCGGAUUUGUGAGAGGGAUGUCUGACUGCCAGUUUAGGCCCGAUUCCUUGAGCACCUGGCUCUGGUAGCAAGAGGAGAUUGUGCCUCUGGGUCCCACAGAUCAUCUCCUACACAAGGUCCCUCCUUCAGGACUAUUUUGCCUAAUACAUACAGACAAACACAGGGAGUCAGGCAAAAUGAGGAAACAAAUAUGGGUCAAACCAAAGAACAAAACUAACCCAGAAAAAAUACCUUAAUUUAACAGAUAAGCAACCUACCUGACAAAGACUUCAAAGUAAUAAUCAUAAAAUUGCUCACUGAACUGCAGAUGAACAUGAAACUUUAAGAGACAGAAAAUAUAAAAAAGGACCAAACAGAAAUUACAACUGAACUGGAAAAUACACUAGAGGGGUUCAAUGGCAAACUGGAUGAAGUAGAAGUAAAAAUCAGUGAAUAGGAAGAGAAAGCAAUGAAACACCCAGACAGAGCAGCAAAAUAAAAAUAAAAAAGAAUUUUAAAAAGAGAAGCUACACUUGUGUGGCAUCAUCAAAUGGAAUAACA
Long non-coding RNA from Myotis brandtii (Brandt's bat), 554 nucleotides. RefSeq lists it as uncharacterized. The record is from RefSeq and is a predicted model, not a curated record. NCBI's taxonomy places the organism in Eukaryota, Metazoa, Chordata, Mammalia, Chiroptera, Vespertilionidae. The transcript has 3 exons.